Molecule: unclassified non-coding RNA, 291 nt
Filed under: Hevea brasiliensis (rubber tree)
Lineage: Eukaryota; Viridiplantae; Streptophyta; Magnoliopsida; Malpighiales; Euphorbiaceae
Source: RNAcentral
UGUAUCCAUCGACAUUAGCACCGUAUUUGUCUACAAAUUGGUAAACACCCUUUCCCUUGCCCUUCCUGCCAGAUGCAUCGAGUCCAUCCGUCAAGUCCAUGCCUCCAUUAAUUCCAAAAGGCUUGUUAGUCUUGAUCUUCUUACCACUGGCCUGAAUCCUCAAAGAGGAAGUUCUUGCUAGUGAGGGGAGGCCUCUCACAGCUGUCUUCUCAACAGUGAAUGGAGAAGGUUUUAGGCUCAAUGAACUCAUCACUACUGAGGCUGCCAUUACCCCUACCUUUCUUCUCUUCC